This 337-nucleotide long non-coding RNA is filed under the name Nicotiana tabacum (common tobacco). RNAcentral describes it as "long non-coding RNA (NTAB_LNC015859)". Lineage: Eukaryota; Viridiplantae; Streptophyta; Magnoliopsida; Solanales; Solanaceae. The record is from RNAcentral.
ACAGACAUGGAUAGAAACGAGAUUUUGUAUUCAGCUUCAAAAUGAAUGCCAUUUUGACUGUUGUAGAACUUUAUGACAAAAUCCUUAGAACGGAUCGUCACCUCCUAGAACGGAUCGUCACCUCCUUGAGUAGCCUGAGAGUUCAGGAACUGAAUGACAAUCAGGACUUCUGUUUUCUUUUUUUUUUCCUUUUCCUGUAAGGGAUCUACUGUGUUUUCUCUUUUAUGCCAAUUUUGAGGUUUCCAAAUGUUUUAGUUCACUGCUUAUAAAAUUAAGAUAAUGCAUUUCAUGGAGGUAAGAGGGAAAAAAAAACGAUUACUUCGUUCUUAAGAUGUUC